UUUUGUUGGAGAGUUUGAUCCUGGCUCAGGACGAACGCUGGCGGCGUGCUUAACACAUGCAAGUCGAGCGGUAAGGCCUUUCGGGGUACACGAGCGGCGAACGGGUGAGUAACACGUGGGCGACCUGCCCUCCACUCUGGGAUAAGCCCGGGAAACUGGGUCUAAUACCGGAUAUGACCUUCCCUCGCAUGGGGGUUGGUGGAAAGUUUUUCGGUGGGGGAUGGGCCCGCGGCCUAUCAGCUUGUUGGUGGGGUGAUGGCCCACCAAGGCGACGACGGGUAGCCGGCCUGAGAGGGCGACCGGCCACACUGGGACUGAGACACGGCCCAGACUCCU
Molecule: ribosomal RNA, 336 nt
Filed under: Pseudonocardia oroxyli
Lineage: Bacteria; Bacillati; Actinomycetota; Actinomycetes; Pseudonocardiales; Pseudonocardiaceae
Description: bacterial SSU rRNA
Rfam family: Bacterial small subunit ribosomal RNA
Source: RNAcentral